This 440-nucleotide ribosomal RNA is filed under the name uncultured bacterium. RNAcentral describes it as "partial 16S ribosomal RNA". It matches the Rfam family "Bacterial small subunit ribosomal RNA", at positions 338 to 795 of the family's 1533-position model. The record is from RNAcentral.
CCUACGGGAGGCAGCAGUAGGGAAUAUUGCUCAAUGGGCGAAACCCUGAAGCAGCAACGCCGCGUGGAGGAUGAAGGUUUUCGGAUUGUAAACCCCUGUUGUUAGAGAAGAUAAUGACGGUAUCUAACGAAUAAGCACCGGCCAACUCCGUGCCAGCAGCCCAGGGAAUACGGCGGGUGCAAGCGUUACUCGGAAUGACUGGGCGUAAAGAGCGCGUAGGCGGGAUAGCAAGUCAGAUGUGAAAUCCUAUGGCUUAACCAUAGAACUGCAUUUGAAACUGUAAUUCUAGAGUAUGGGAGAGGUAGGUGGAAUGCGUGGUGUAGGGGUAAAAUGCGUAGAGAUCAAGAGGAAUACUCAUUGCGAAGGCGACCUGCUAGAACAUAACUGACGCUGAUGCGCGAAAGCGUGGGGAGCAAACAGGAUUAGAUACCCCAGUAGUC